Long non-coding RNA from Venturia canescens, 1003 nucleotides. RefSeq lists it as uncharacterized. Lineage: Eukaryota; Metazoa; Arthropoda; Insecta; Hymenoptera; Ichneumonidae. The record is from RefSeq and is a predicted model, not a curated record. The transcript has 2 exons.
GACCGUGCGUGAGCUAUAGAGAGCAGGACUACAGUCGAUGAGCGCGCUGCGCUCUCUCGUCGUGUCUGAAUAUGCGAUUUUUCUGAUGAUAUUUUGACUGUAUAUCAUUGAAAAUAAUUAAUUUUUCGGAAAAAAAUAAUGAUUAAAGUAAUCAAAUACGGUUUUUGUCCGAUCAACAAUGAUCGCAUUAAAAAUCAAAAUGACGUAAAAGGAAAAAAACUGUUUGAAUCGAAUGACGUUUUAAAUGUCGUCGCGAAACAGAAAUAAGUUUAGUGGAUGAGUUGAGAGUGUUUAACGUUUAGAUCCAUUUUUGGUCCGUUUCUCACUUUUCCAUGCGGAGAAUGGACUGUGUGCCCAGAGCAGGCUCUGGGAAAUAAUAAAAUUUUACUGGAUAUAUACUUGAACGUCUCGACACGUAGAAAUUGUGCAUUAGAGUACUGCUUUGGAAUGCAACAAUAUUUUCUCGAUGGAGACAUGAUAAAAAAUAAUAAUGUUAUUUUGUUAAAUAAUAUAUGCGAAAAGUAAUAAUUGCCAUGUGCGCCUGCUUCAAAUAGCACCUAGGAAGUUUUGAAAUUGUCCACAUAGUGACACUGUAGACGCUGCGCGCACGGUCCCUUGUGAUAAGAGCGAGACGCGGUGAAGGUCACCCUGCGAAGGACGUCGGCAAGCUCAUGUAUUCGGUUAUACUUUUUCGCGACACGCUGAUGAGACGAAAACUUGAUUUCGGUGGAGGGAUAUGUUGGGUUACUACGCACGACAGUUUCGGUUCUCGAUUCGUCAUAAAAACAGGCUAUAUAACCCAAACAAGCCGGAACAUCCCGCCUAUAUAUGACUGAAACACGCCGAGACAUGGUUGCGACCCCAAAAACGGCUUCGACCCAAACAAACCAAAAGACGGCUUCUGAAAUAUUAAAUAAACUUGGGUUGAUAUAAUUGAGAGAUUGAUACGCCUUGAGUGCACGACACGUUGUUACAUCGAAUAAAUAAAGCUCUUUUAUUGUAA